CUAUAAGAGACCCCUGUACUCCUUCGUUGUUUCUUUGCAAGGUUCAGUGAGUAAUAAAGCCAAGAUACAGGAGCGAUCGGCUCCGCGGCGUUCGUCGCUGUAAAAUCCAUUGUUCAUCGUCUCCCUCACCGGCGUUUGUGUUCGUGAGUGUGAGAGUUUUCCUGGGCUGAGCCAACACUGUUUGAUGCAUGCUCCGUUUAUAUGUUGUCGUUCCACUGCAGAGUGUGUGUGUAUGUUUUUUUUUAAAAAAAAAUUCUUGACGAGAUCAAGACGUGAAGACCUGGGCCGAACUCUGAAAUUGCCACCCAUGAAUUGUGCAGUAUCUUUCAUGCUUCGUUAAUCUGAAUGAAUUUGCGCCUGUUGCAUACUGAACAUGAAAACUCUGAAAUUGUUGGUUUCACUCUCUUUAAAGAGCUGCCGUCUCAAAUAUUUUUCUUACAAAUCUUAAUUCAUCAUUUCACUGCAUGCUUAAUGGUCAAAUUAAGUUUUUCUAAAUAGUAGUACUCCUGCUACGUUCGUCUCCAAGGCAAAGCAUAAUGUAUUUCCUAUUCCUUAUCAAAGUAGAGCCUUAUAAUUUCAACCUAGCAUUACUCAUUUUCUUCAUUUCUUGCCACUAUUCCUCGUGCAUGUAUACAUACAUACAUACAUACAUACAUACAUACAUACAUACAUACAUACAUUACAGCUAUACGCAUAUACAGUUUUCAGUCGCAUAGAAUUAUAAUUCUAUGUUUUUUUUUCUUCAGAUGAUCUCCUUGCCGUUGCCGUCGCCUUCGGCGGCGACCUGAGCGGAGGCGGAGGCGUCGCAGCCGUCGUCGGCGCCGCCGGAGUUGUACCACCUCGCGC
This 846-nucleotide long non-coding RNA is filed under the name Oryza sativa (Asian cultivated rice). RNAcentral's name for it is "long non-coding RNA (OSAT_LNC000784)". Lineage: Eukaryota; Viridiplantae; Streptophyta; Magnoliopsida; Poales; Poaceae. The record is from RNAcentral.